RNAcentral lists this small RNA (1569 nucleotides) under Pyricularia oryzae. RNAcentral's name for it is "Magnaporthe oryzae sRNA M_BR32_EuGene_00066091". The record is from RNAcentral. Lineage: Eukaryota; Fungi; Ascomycota; Sordariomycetes; Magnaporthales; Pyriculariaceae.
UAUUUGUCGUUUAUUACCGCGUAAUAUUCGCAACCCGAAUCCAUUUACGCAUUAAUAAAUUAUAAAUUAUUUAAUAAAAUAAAAAUAAAAAAAAACGUCCCGUUUAUAAAAUAUUGGAUUAAACCAAUUUUAUUAUAUUUAUUUUUUGGUUUCCUAUUUAUUUUUAUUUUGGUUGCGUUUUGCGGUUUCCGUUUUCGAUUAAAUUUCGUAUCAAAAAUUAUUUGUUUUUUUUUCCAGGAAUUUCCGUCGUAAUCGCGGUUAUUACCGUAAAAAAACGCAAUAUUAUUACGUAAAUGCAAUUUAUUAUUUAAUAACCGGAAUUACCGUAACGCAAAUAUAUUUUUAUUUCGUAUUUCCGUUAAUAUUUAUCGUUAAAAAUUUAUUAAACGCGUAAACGCGUAUUUUUUUUAUUAAUAUUCGAAAAUUAGAUUUAUCCGGAUUUACGGCGUCCUUUUGUCCUUUUAUUAGGUUUGGAAUUUAUUAUAAUUAUAUUCGUUAUAAAUAUAUUUUCGUUUUUCGGCGGUUUGGGGAUUAUAACGGCGCCCGCGCGGUAAAAACCAAAAUAUUUAUUUAAUUCGAUCGUUUUAAAAUUUUGGGCAAUUUGGCGGUAAAUAAUUACCGUUUUUAAAUAAAUACCGUUUCCUAUAUUUUAUCCAAUAUAUAUUUUCCAAAUUUUGAAAAAUACGCGGAAAUGUAAAAAAUUGGUACGGAUUUCGUCCGUCCAAAUUAAUUUUCCGGCCGUAAUUAGAAUUUUUUCGAAAAUUGCAAUAAAUUGGACAAACGAUUAAUUCGGUUUUAUUUUUAACGUUUUAAAUUCGGCCAAAAUUUGCGCCCGUUUAUAAAAAUUGUCGUAAAUAUAUUUUAAAUAAUCCAAAAAAUUUAUAUAACGGUACGCGCCGUUUUUACCGUUUAUUUUAUAAUAAAAACGGACCAUUUUUUGGACGGAUAUAUCGAAUUUUACCUAUAAAUAUUUAUAUUAAUCGCGGUAAUUAUUUAUAAAAUCCGCGUCGCGGCGGAAUUUAUAUUUUAUAACGUAUUGUUAAAUUAUAAACGAGGCCGGGAUACCGUCGUAUAAUGGCGGGUUUCGAAAUAAUUUGCGUUUCGGUAAUACCGUAAUUUAUAAUAUUUCCGCGAUAAUUGGUACCGUCGGGGUUUUUAUUUGCAAAAUUUGUAUUUUUUUUUAUAAAUCCGCGAUUAUCCGUUAUAAUUUUUAAAACGCGGCGUCCGGUAUUUGGGCGGUAAUUUCCUUUUUAAAUGGCGAAUUUAUUAUCCGUGGAAAAAAAAAAAAAUAAUAAACGAUAAUAAAUAUUAUAAGGUAGGCCAACGAUUAUAUAACGGUUAGGUACCCGAAAAAAAUUAUUAUUAUCGUUAAAAAAAAAAAGAAAAAAGGGGUGCGGAAAAGGUUUUGGCGGCCCUUCCUCCCUUAUAUAUAAUAUAAUUUAUUACGUGGUCCCCGCUGUUAUUUAUAUACGGGGAUAUAUAUAAUUAGUACGAAUCCGUAAUAAAAAUAAAAACCAAAAAAUAAUAAAAUUUUUACAAUAUUAGUUUUAACAAUAUUUUUAAAUUUAA